Pogona vitticeps (central bearded dragon) is the source of this 717-nucleotide non-coding RNA. Lineage: Eukaryota; Metazoa; Chordata; Lepidosauria; Squamata; Agamidae. The record is from RefSeq and is a predicted model, not a curated record.
GGUGUCCUUUCUCCUUCCCCUUUUAUUUUUAUUUAUUUAUUUAUUUUAUUAACCUCAACCCCAGGCAGAACGCUGCUGCCGCCACCCCCCCCUCACCUCACACACACAUACACACACACACACACAUACACACACACACCUCGCUCCUCCUCACAGAGUCCAGGAACCGGCCCCUUACGCCGCUUCCGUAGCGUAGCGGCCCAUCCGAAGGCGAGGAGCGGACGCGGAGGUAAAAACGCCGGCGCCGUCGUGAAUACCGGGGGAAACAGAGUUUUGAGUGCCUAGAACUUUGGCUGGUCUCCAUCUAUAAUGAAAAAGCAAGGACGGUCAAUUAUAAAAGAGAGAGAAAGAGAGUUUGGGAAAACAGAAAAUGACCUUCCGGAAGCGACCUGAGGUUUGAGGCCCAUUGUGAGUCCGGGUAGAAAAUGGCCCCCAAUUCCUCUGAGUUUGGUCUCUGCUUGGAUGGAUUCUACCACUUCAUAAAAACAAAAUCUACCCACUGUCUCUCAUGAAUGAUAUGAUCAGCAGAACGAUGGCUGCCUUAUUCUGGUCUGCAGUGAAAAACAAGCCUAAAACUGAAACUUCCAACAAGAACCAGGAAUAGAAUCCACUCCAUCACAUUACAUGACCUGUAACAGGCAGGAACAAAGACUCGCACCCCCAGCGAAGUCCCAUUCCUGGUGGACUGCCGCUCACGGGCCCACAACAGCCUUGGCG